This 305-nucleotide long non-coding RNA is filed under the name Lathyrus oleraceus (garden pea). RNAcentral's name for it is "Pisum sativum (pea) long non-coding RNA (PSAT_LNC006439)". Lineage: Eukaryota; Viridiplantae; Streptophyta; Magnoliopsida; Fabales; Fabaceae. The record is from RNAcentral.
ACAUGAUGGAAGCGCGCCUCUGAGCCUUUGAUGUUGUCCACAUCAUUUAAUGAAAUGGAUCGUGCGCUCCCUGAUUUUCCAUAUUUUUCUAAUUUCUGUUUUAUUUUCUUUUAUUCCAUUUAUUUUCAAAAAUUCAUAACUAUUUUAUUUGGAAUCACAAAAAUAUGAGACCAAUUACAAAAAAAAUCUUUUAAAAUCUAGUUUCAAAAUCUGAUUUUUUUUUUUUGUGAUUCCAUUUAAUAUUUUUUGUGAAUUAUUUUGUUUUUAAUAGUUUUUAAUACAUUUUAAAUACUUUUUGAUAUCCA